ACGGUGAGUAACACGUAUCCAACCUGCCGUCUACUCUUGGACAGCCUUCUGAAAGGAAGAUAAUACAAGAUGGCAUCAUGAGUCCACAUGUUCACAUGAUUAAAGGUAUUCCGGUAGACGAUGGGGAUGCGUUCCAUUAGAUAGUAGGCGGGGUAACGGCCCACCUAGUCUUCGAUGGAUAGGGGUUCUGAGAGGAAGGUCCCCCACAUUGGAACUGAGACACGGUCCAA
This 230-nucleotide ribosomal RNA is filed under the name uncultured bacterium. RNAcentral's name for it is "partial 16S ribosomal RNA". It matches the Rfam family "Bacterial small subunit ribosomal RNA", at positions 105 to 334 of the family's 1533-position model. The record is from RNAcentral.